UAAAGAUGGCUUUUAAAUAAUAAUUUCAACCCAAAUUAUAAAGCUAUUAAGUUAUUCAGAUCAAAUCAAUUUAACUUUUAAAUCACAACACAUAAUAUUCACUAAAUGCUCUAGCGCUAAAAGCUACAGCAGCUCCGGCCGCUGUCCUCCAAUGAAAUGGCAUUUUCAUGCAACUCUUGUGCGGAAUGACUUGUAUGACAGGAAUUGCCAGCGGUGGAGGGUUAAGGCUUUUGUGGGAGAGUUUCUGGAACUUAGUUUUGUCACAUGCUUUGGUCCCCCCUCGUUCUAGAUUCCACUUCCAUUAUACAACAGCAAAUAAUAUCAAUUUAAUUAAGAAAAUUGACUUAAAGUCGUCACCCUGCAUAACAGAAGGUGCAUUGCAAUUUCAACAAUUUUGACAUAUAUAUAUUAUGACAGACAAAGACUAGACCCCAGCUAUCAAUUUCAAGGGCAGAAAUAAUUCCAACAGCAGAUUAAUCAUGCAGCAGUACUCAUGCCUCCGGGACUUGUAAAAAAAUGCUCAUAAUGCUUGCUAGCCAAGAGCUUGAGCUAGCUGAUGAACCUUUUAUCAAAUCAAUUAACCAUGCAGCGAUUUUGCAGUUCUGGACUUGCUAGACACUUUUCAGAGGUGCUAAUUACAUUACGGCGGUGGGGGCCCCGUGUCAAAAAGAAUCUAGGAACCACCACAACACUGCUACUCUUUCUUCCACUCCUCAUAGCUACUGCUUUCAUUUCUUCCUUAUGGAAUUCUGAUACUGUAAGCAAUACCAACUUACAGCACUUGUUUUAAUUUUUCCUGCACAGAUAUAUUUCAAUUGAUUAUGAUCGAGUUAUUUGCCUUUUCGAUUAUUUUGCAGUCUAAUUUUUCUGUUCACAAUAUCUCAAGAAAUAAAACGGUGAUUAUCGUAUCCCGAAAGCCACAAAACCGGCCACCAAAAAGAAUCACAACCCCACUCAAUUGUGUCAAAAACCAAACCCAAACUUGCCCAACAAAUUACCCCAAAACAUCUCAAACACAAGAAUCAAUUUCAGAUUACUCAAUACCACCCACAUCCACAUGCCCAGAUUACUUUCGGUGGAUCCACGAAGAUCUAAGCCCCUGGAAAGUCACAGGAAUCACAAGGGACAUGUUAGAAAGAGCCAAUCAAACGGCUCAUUUUCGUCUAAUACUCGUCAACAACAAAGUAUAUAUCCACAAGUACAAACAAUCAAUACAAACUAGAGACGUUUUCACCAUAUGGGGCAUCUUGCAACUCCUUAGAAAGUAUCCCGGAAGAUUACCGGACUUGGAGCUUAUGUUUGACUGCGAUGACCGCCCCGUCAUCCGAUCACGCGACUACAGCGGGCCAAACAACAAGGGCCCACCUCCGUUGUUUCGGUACAGUGGUGACAGGUGGACGAUGGAUAUAGUGUUUCCUGAUUGGUCCUUCUGGGGAUGGUAAUGACUUCUUCUUCUUCUUCUUCAUCUUUUUGUUGCUCUCUCUUUUGAUUGCUGGUUGCGUGUUGCGUGUGUUUUUGUUUUCGCAUGGAAAUUGUAGAAUGCAUGCUAAAUCGACUUGGACUCUAGCUACCAUCGUAGGCCACGUAGGGUAGAAGCGUACUGUAAUUCAUUUUGUUUUCUGAUAAUCAAGGGGUCCUACGCUAAUGACAUGCGACCAAACACAGAUUAUUUAACCUGAAUAGCUAAUGCCCCGAGACGGCAAGACAUAGUUUUUUUUUUUUUUUUUUUUNNNNNNNNNNNNNNNNNNNNNNNNNNNNNNNNNNNNNNNNNNNNNNNNNNNNNNNNNNNNNCCGUACAUUCGCCUUGGCCGUACAGCAGUAUAAAAUUUGAUUAUUAUUUAAUAAGUUCAAUAUUACUAAUAAUAAAUACUUAAAUAAUAUAUAAAAAUGACAUAAUAUUACAUUAUUUAAAUAUAUUACAACAAUUGAUAUAUAAGAAUUGAUUAUUAUUUAACAAUUUAAUAUAACUAAUAAUAAAUACUUAAAUAUUAAUAAAUUUGAAUACUAUUAAUUUAAAAUUAAUAGUAAUAUAAAUAAUGAAAUAAAAUAUUCAUACAUAUAGUACAAUUCGUAAUAUAAUAUAAUAUAGUGUGCCAAAUGCACCCAAGUUAUAAAUUAUAUUAUAUUUUUUACCUUAUUUUUUUCCUUACUUUUACAAUAUAUAAUAUCUUUACAAUAAUUUUGGAGAAAUUAAUGAAAUGAAUAAAAGAAAACUAACCAAUCUUUUAUUUUAUUUUAUAACGAAACAAGUAUAUGAUUGAAAGAUUUGAUUGUGGGUAGGGAUGGCAAUGGGGAGGGGAGGGGACCAAUCUCCCCGUACCAAUCCCCGAUAUUUUGCUUAUAUCCUCGUCCCCUCCCCGUCCCCGUUAGAAUUACUUGAGAGAAUCCUCAUCCCCUCCCUGAAUAAUAACAGGGGAUCCCCAAGGGUCCCCGAUCCCCGAAUAACUAAUACAUUUUUUGUUUUCGAUUUUGAGUUAAUCAUAUUAAAAUAAAAAAUUCAAAUAAAAGUAAAGUUUGAAAUAUAUCUUACAUUAAUAUCCAUUACAAAAGUCACAUACAUUAAAUUAGUAAGUAACGCAUCAUGUAAGAGAUACAAGCUUCUUUUACAAACUAUCGUGAAUAAAUUAAUAGUCUAAUACAAAAUUGUUACAAAUAAAAUCGAAUUUAGAUUCAAAAUUAACUUUUUCAAUGGUGGCGUGGACACUUUAUAAAUGUGGACUAUUCCCUUUAUAGCACAAUAGUUAAGUCGGAGCAAAUCAAGAGCAAAUAUUAGAUUAGAUUAAAUUAAAUUAAAUUAGAUAUUAAAAUUGCGAUUCGCUGUGGGCAAUUAUAACAUCUAAAAAUAAAUAAAAAAUAUAUUUAAGUUUAAAACAUUUAAUGAAUAUUAAAAUUAAAACAAAAUUUUUGGGCUAAUAGAAUUUACCCGGUUUUUUUAAUGUCCUAAAUAUAAAUUGGGUAAAAAUAUUUCUCCGUCCCUUCCUCGAAUAAGAAAUUGGGUAUGAAAUUAUCCCCAUAUCCUCCACGAAUGAGAAAAAUCCCCGAGAAUACCCGUCCCCGUAGAGAUUUUUGCCAUCCCUAAUUGUGGGUUCUUCUCCACUGAUGUCUGAAAUUGUGCAAGUACGUACAUAUGAUUGUCAGUCGGCUAGUUUUACAUUAAUUUUCAUCUAGCAAUGUUAUUACUUUGGGUCAUUGGGUGUCAGAUUUGAAAUUUAUGUUAGAAUGCGCCUGUGGAUCGAAUUAAACAAGUGUGUGACUAGCAAGUUCAUAAUAUAUAUAUAAAGAUGGAUGGAAAGGGUGUGACUGGCAACUUAUUCAUUUUGGCAGGGCUGAGAUAAAUAUAAAACCAUGGGAGAGUUUGUUGAGGGAGCUAAAAGAAGGCAACAAUGGGAGGAAUUGGGUGGACAGGGAACCCUAUGCCUACUGGAAAGGGAACCCUUUUGUAGCUGAAACAAGAAGAGACCUACUCACUUGUAAUCUAUCAGAUAAACACGACUGGAAUGCUCGACUCUAUGUCCAAGUAAUUUUAUUUUUAUAUUACUACUCAUUUUUGUUCUAAGAUUCCUGGUUUUAAUUUCUUUUUAAUCUUUUUCAAAAUGCUGGGCAUGGACAGAAUUUAAAUUAAUUUUUAGCCCCUUAAUUACAGUCCCUAAUAUUUAAACUUGACUUGCUAGCCAAAUAAAGCUGCUUAAAACCAAUUAAUUCGAUCAAACCUUUGAUUAUAUUUAUUUAUUGCGCAUAUAUAUAUUAAUUAAUUAACUUUUGCAGGAUUGGAUCCUUGAAUCUAAGCAAGGUUUUCAACAAUCAAAUCUGGCGAGCCAAUGCGCCCACAGGUAUAUCUAGUCGCCGACUAACUGAUGGGUACGUUCAUCAAGUCAACUUUCAACAUUGACUUUUCUUGUUCACUACUUAUUCAUUAGGUACAAAAUCUACAUCGAAGGAUAUGCAUGGUCAGUUAGUGAGAAGUACAUUCUGGCAUGUGACUCUACGACACUCAUUGUAAAGCCCUAUUUCCACGAUUUCUUCAUAAGAUAUUUACAACCUCUGCGACACUACUGGCCGAUAAGAGAUAAAGAUAAGUGCAAAUCUAUUAAGUUUGCUGUAGACUGGGGUAACACCCACAAGCAAAAGGUAAUUAGCUUCGUUGAUUAUAUUAUACUGAUGUAAUAUUUUGUUAAGUAAUGUGAUACGCAUGUAAAUGGACUUUAUUAGCAGGCACAGGAAAUUGGGAGAGCGGCGAGCAACUUCAUUCAAGAAGAACUGAAAAUGGAAUACGUGUAUGAUUACAUGUUUCAUUUGUUAAACGAGUAUGCUAAGCUUUUGAAAUUCAAGCCAGUGGCACCUGAUGGAGCUGUGGAGGUAUGCUCAGAGACUAUGGCUUGUACCGCAAAUGGGUCGCAUAAAAAGUUCAUGAUGGAGUCAUUAGUCAAAGGUCCUUCUAUUACAAGCCCAUGCACAUUGCCUCCUCCGUAUGAACCCAAAGUUCUUGGUGCUUUCUAUCGGAGAAAACUUAAUGCAAUUCUACAAGUGCAGAAAUGGGAGGAUAGAUACUGGGAAAGUUUGAAGAAGCAAUAGUGCGAAUAAUAUAUGCAUAUUAAUUACUUAGGUUAGGCUUUUAUUUAUUCAAUCAUUUGAUAAAGGGUCAAAUCCUACGACUCAGCAAGCCCAAUUUAAUUAAUUAAGAAGGCAUACAGCACUUAUGUUUUGCACCAAACUGUACUUAUCAUUAAAUCAAUUGCUAUGAGCCACGCAUGCAGCAUUUUGGACCACCGGAAAGAUGUGAAUGACUCAUCAUCAUCUCUUUGCCCACAAGUGCAUUAAUAACGAGCUUUAUCACUGACGAAUCACAGUAUUUGUCUGAAUUGGUCAUGUGGAUGAAAGGAAUUGGUUUCUUUUGGGCGACAGAACAAAUGAAUGAAAAUGAUGAUGAUCAAUCCAGUCUCCACCGUUGCUAAUAUUAAUAUGAUUAUGAUUUCAGUGCUGCACACAGGAGCACCUUGCGAAUACUGCUUAGUACUGUUACAUGCAUUCUUAUAAUUACGUGUAUCCAUAUAAAUAAGUAUUGAGAAAAAAGCUCACAAUAUGAUGAUAUUUUGCACGCAGCUGUUUUAUUUUUAUUUGUAGACCAUCUGGUCUUCUAGUUAUUAGGUUUCCUUUUCAGGUGGGGAGGAAACUUACCAAUGAAUCUUUAGUCUAGUGGGAGAGUCUUUACACUUACAAUGUUGAGUGUAAGAGUUCAAGUUUUUAUAAAAGUAUUUAUGGGGGUUAUUUACAAUCCUCCUUUAAUUAUUUGAUAAUUGAGUAGAGUCAGUCUAUGCCUCACGAAAUAUGAGUGGAGUGGACAGCCCUCGAAUAUUUGAGAUGGUUUGAAGAAUUUGGGCAGAGCUUCAGAGGGGUACAUGCCACGAAGAAGGUCCCAAUUGUAGAAUCUGUUUAUAAAUAUUAAUUGUAAUACCUACAAUCCUAUAUAACAGUACUAUAAAAAAAAAAAUAAAGUGGGGAGGAAACUUUGUCCGUGGCCAUAGAUUUAUUGCAAUCGUACGAAUAAGUUUAUAUUUGUGUUUCCGUCCUUAAAGAUUGAGACUGAUGAUAACACACUAGGCCAUACCCCUUAAUUAACCUCACAUUAAUGCACACAGCAAAUAGCCUAUACAAGCCGUUUGGACGACUUGUCAGGACGACCCAUUUUGGGAUAUACAAUUGGAAAUUAAUUACUUGAAUUAGCUAUGGUGAAACUUAUAUAUAAAUGCCUAAUUAAAGCCUGAACCAUGAAUGGUUUUGAGAUAAGAAAUCUUUGUCAAGAUACUUGGGCGAUUAAUUAUGUGUUCAUCUUAAAUGUUGAACCAGCCUAACAUGCAAGAGACUCAACAGUCCACAUAGAAUGUUAGGUUGGCUUGGCUUCAACUCUUUGCUAGUUGUUGUGAAAAACCCAAAAAAAGCAAAAAAAGGGAAAAAAAAAAAUACAAAUAAACUCUUUGUUAGUUGAGACGUUGAACGUUAAGUUCCUUUGCUAAUACUCGCAAUUAUUGACGGUCGGUGGUGUAAUCCACAAAUUAUGUUGAUAAAUAUAUGGAUUUGCAAAUACCUUGAUUAUAUGUAAUGCUUUUAAAAAUUAAUUAAUCGUAGCUUAAAUAUAUGACAUCAACGGAGACGUAAGCAAUACGGGGAGCUAAAUUGUCAUGUUAGUUUCUGCCUCUAAUAGGAAGCUUUGGCAUUAAACAAAUCAAUUACAUCAACGUUAAGUUAAUUUAUCAAAUUAUAUUUGAUGAUUCUGGAUUCAUGUUGAUCGAACCUGCAACGUCAAAGCCACUUUAAUUAGUAAAGCCGGUUCCAAUAAAAUCAUUCAAAAUUUUGGAGGCAUUUACUUUUGAGAUGCUUCACCAAACCAUGAGAUUUUUCUUGCUCUUGAAUCCUCUUUGAUGACGAAUGUGACAGCUUAUCCACUCCCCAUAUCGUUAAUCAUGAAAUUAAUGAAAAGUAUAAAACCAAAUGAACAGACAUGAUUAAGAAUUUUAAUAAGCCUAGUGUGGGUUUUUUUAUGCUCAAUUUGGCUAAAUUAAAGAAAUAUUUUAAAAAAAACUAUUUUCAUCAUUUUGUUUAGAAAUCAAAGAUAAAUAAAUAAAUUGCAAAUUAAUGGCAUAAUAAUAAUAAUGAGAAAUGUCAAAAUAAAAAAUAUGAGAGUAUCACUAAAAAAACUCUUCUAAUUUAACUAUUUAAAUAUUUGUUUGCUUAAUUAUUUGAUAAAUAGAAAAGUUAAAAAAAAUAGUCAUAUUUUAAAAGACUUUUCAAAUAAAAAUAAAUUUAUGUUUUUUUAGCCAAAAUUUUUUCUCCACAAAAAUAAUAACAAUUACAACACAUUUCUCCCUUUAAGAAUGAGAAGAUAAAAAAUAAUAUAACAGUAAGAGACUCUCUAAAUGAGAUUUUUCAUUUGACUAAAGAAGAAAGAAGGAUAACCUUAUUUAAAAAGUUUUUUAAAAUAUUUUUCUCUUCAAAUAAUAAGUAAAGAAAUUUUGAGUGACGUUCUAGGGAGAUUUUUUUUUAUAAAAAGGUUAUGAGAAUUUAAUCAAUUUAUUGUUUAGUAUUAAUCAAAGACAAAGUGGGUCCAGAUCAAAGUCGUCACGUGGAGAGUGUUCAGGGCCAAUGUGAGGAAGACAAAGGGCGCUCUCUCACAAAAGGGACCGAAAACUGUCUCACACGGCUCCACCAAGUUCUCUUCUUUUGUUUGACUUUUUCAUUGGUCCAAUUAUUUUGUGACACCUGUAAAGACUCAUAGAAACCGAGCCUCUUCGAGUCACAGCAGAAUAUAGAAUUAGAAAAUGACGUGGCUCACGCUCCAGCUCCCUUUAAAAAUACUCAAAAGUGUAUUUGCUUGGAAGCAUAGUCAGGAAGCAACCUUCAUGCUUAAACAAUCUUUCAUGUCUUGUGUCACCUCCCAAACUCAAAUAUACAAAAACAUUAAAACCAAAAAGGCAACCUCAUAAUCAUAAUAAUAAUAAUAAUAAUAUCACAAUACGUACAUUAAAUAUCACUUGUGACAACUAACAAAGUGUUGGCUUCACUGGUAAUGGAGUCCCCUUAAGUGACUUGACUGGGUUUGCUCCCCAGUUCGAGUCGCAGGGAAGUCGCCUUUGUUGAGAGAAUCUGUGCCUCCUGGUUCGAGCGGGGACUUCUAAUCUGGGUUGUGGUACGGGCUUAAAGGUGCCUCCCACAGUUGGAGCCCUCCCCAGGAUACCUCGUGAUUAAUAUAAAAAAAAAAAAAUAACACUUGUGACAUUCAACAAGUUGUCUCUUUAAUCAUAUGCAUUUAUAUUAAUAUUAUAUUCCAUACCUUACCUAAGAUUGAAAGACUAUGCACAUUUUUUUUUGUUAGAUAUUAAUAUCCAAAAUGCACUCACUUUGAUUAUUAAUUUAAUGUUUAAAGAUAUGCAUUUAGAUGCAUCACAUGCUACUAACAAACUGAUGUUCAUGGGUAACAACUGUAAACGUUGAACUUGAGAGGGAGAAAAUUUGUUUACGAGCUUUAUUCAAAAGAAGUGUGCUUUUGCUCUCAAAAGCCACUAAACGACAUAGUAAAAGCAUUCAAAUUUCAAACGGUCGUGGCCUUCGCUUGCUCUUUGGUACAAAGAAAAUCGAGUGAAUUAAAAUUUGAUGGGGACGGACAAAUUGGCCAGCGACCCUUGAUUUUAGCCACUUAAUGACAGCUGUUAAUCUAAUUGCACUGGCUUAAUAAAAGUAAAACGGGGGCCGAUUAUAUCGCGAUAUUUUAACGAUUCAUAGAAAUCAUUGAUUAAAAUUAGGUUACGGCAAUGUCACGUGGUAACCGGCGCAAAUACCGGAACGGCGAUUGGCCCGAUCCCGGCUCCCUAAUACGGCUGCUAACGUAAAAUAAAAUUGUUUCUCUUAUUACGAAUGUUCUAAAUUCAUCUUUUUUUACUGUUACAAGAGUUUUUCAUUGGCCAAAUAAUCCGACAUUCUUAAAUAUAAAUAUAAUUGUUGUUUAUCAUAUCUACAAUUACUUUUUUUUUAUAUUAUAAAUGACAAUAAUUUUAAUAUAUCAUUUUUGUGUUUUUUUUAUAAGUCACCCAUUUAAAAAGAAAAAGAUACAAGAUGUUGUUUAAAAUCAUUUCACAUGGAUAUAUUUUUAUUUAUACAUAAUAUACAAUAAUCAUAUAAAGUUUUUAAAAAAAUAACCGUGUAAAUUUAACAUUAAUGAUUCAUUGAUAAUGAACAUAAUCAUAGAAUGGUUCAAAAUAAUUUAAUUGCUCUUAAAUAUGUUGAACUCUUAUUUCAUCAUAAUUUGAAUUAAAAAUUUUGUUAUUUAAUAACUAAAAUGUAUAUAUAUUUGUUUCUUCGUUUAAUUUGAUGGAUCAUGGAUCCAUAUUGCUAAUGUGAGAUAAAAAUUUUCUCAUAAUUUAAAUUUUUAUGAAUUUUUAAAUAAUAAUAUAUGAAUAAAAUUUAACUUUGUUUAUUUUUUUAUUUAUUAACUACUAAUUACUUAUAUAUAUUUACACGAAAUUAAAUGAUAAAGAGAAUCCUAUUCCCCUGUUGGCACGGACUCUCACAUUAUCAUAACACCCGAGAUCUGGUUUUCUCGUCUCACGAGAUUGACGCUAUUGAAAAAAAAAAAAAAGCACCAGCCAUACUGUUAAUGCAAUCAUUAGCAGAGAAAAAAAAUCUAAUAGAAGCAUGUGUAGAGCUCCAAAAGCAUAAUCCUCCCAAAACCGCCCUACCAUUUUAACUCAAAAUUACAGAUAGCAGAUCAACAACACUCUUUGCAUUUUCCAUUUUGUAGUUCAAUUAUCCAUUAUUUGAUUUUUCUGUUCUACAUUUUUUUUUUUUUACCUGGAACAAGAAGAUCUUUAUCUUCUUUAGCUAGUAACAAAAACCUCUCUUUGAAUCCAAGUUUCUCUCACAUCUCCUUUUGUCUUUUAACUUGACAUAUCUGUCUUGAGUUUACUCUUUCAACGGAUUUGCUUUCAUGGGUAGUUGCAAAAUCUUUGAUUUAAACUCACAAAAACUGUACUAAAAACUUUAUCUGGUUCUUGUUAACAAGGGCGGAUUUGUAGUACAUUAUUGAACUUUAAGUCAGUUUUAGAGUUUUAGUGUACUUACAUUUGUCUUCAUAAACACUAGUAUCCAAGUCAUUUGAUUUUUCUUUUUCUUUUUCCUCUUUUGAAGUUUCUUUAAUGAGUUCUUGUUUUGAGUCUUGUGGUUUCUAGAAGACUAUUGGGUGGUAAAAGAUAGAAUCUUGAACUGAAAAUGAGAUCAUACUCGUCACUUGAGCUUCUGUUUGUUCUCUCUGGAGUUCUUUUUGCAACCUGCAAUGCCUUUGCUACAAAUGAAUGUAAUGUUUCGUUUGUUUACUUUUUGUCUUGCCUCAGAUCUCGAAUCUUUUGAUUGUGUUAAUUGUUCUCUUUUUCCAACAUUUUCUUAGUGACCAAAUAGUCUAUUAGCGCUGUUGAGGUCAUGUGAUCGUAAUUUUACUAAAUGGGAGUUGUGUAUUUUCCUCAGUUUGGGCUCUUACAACAUUCAAGGAAGCAAUAUAUGAAGACCCCCAUCUGGUUUUGUCCAACUGGAAUGCCCUUGAUGCAGAUCCUUGUCAUUGGACUGGCAUUGCUUGUUCUGAUGCUAGAGACCGUGUUCUAAAGAUGUAAGAGAUGAUUUGUUACUCAGUUGUAUUGUGGUACUUCUUUGACUGGAUUUCCAUAGAUAUGCAUAGUUUGGUUAAAUACAUGUUUGGGAGAAUCAUGCCUCACCGAUUUGUAUGAGGAUUUUGUUUUGUAGAAACAUCUCUGGAUCAUCUUUAAAGGGAUUUCUUGCGCCAGAGUUGGGUCUGCUGACGUACUUGCAGGAGCUGUAAGCUCUUAUUUAUUUUUGUCUUUUCCUACCGGCUGAAGUAUUAUACUUUUUUACGGUGAUUGAGGUUUAAUAUCACACGUUCUUGUCUUGUAGAAUUCUGCAUGGGAACAAUUUGAUUGGGAUAAUACCUAAAGAAUUGGGCUUGUUGAAACGUCUGAAGAUCUUGGAUUUGGGGACGAACCAAUUAACAGGUCCAAUUCCUCCAGAGAUUGGGAACUUGACUGGUUUGGUGAAAAUGUAAAUGAAAUUUAUUGUUUGUUCCCAAAGAACUGGAUUUUAUG
Molecule: long non-coding RNA, 10637 nt
Filed under: Citrus sinensis (sweet orange)
Lineage: Eukaryota; Viridiplantae; Streptophyta; Magnoliopsida; Sapindales; Rutaceae
Description: long non-coding RNA (CSIN_LNC001882)
Source: RNAcentral